GGGGGGUGCGAGCGUUGUCCGGAAUCACUGGGCGUAAAGGGCGCGUAGGUGGCGUGAUAAGGGUGUGGUGAAAGCCCGGGGCUCAACCCCGGGUCGGCCAUGCCGACUGUCAGGCUCGAGUGCUGUAGGGGCAGGCGGAAUUCCGGGUGUAGCGGUGGAAUGCGUAGAGAUCCGGAGGAAGACCGGUGGCGAAGGCGGCCUGCUGGGCAGUUACUGACACUGAGGCGCGACAGCGUGGGGAGCAAACAGGAUUAGAUACCCUGGUAGUCCACGCCGUAAACGAUGGGUACUAGGUGCCUGGGGGAGCGACCCCCUGGGUGCCGGCGCUAACGCAGGAAGUACCCCGCCUGGGGAGUACGGCCGCAAGGCUG
Molecule: ribosomal RNA, 371 nt
Filed under: uncultured bacterium
Lineage: Bacteria
Description: bacterial SSU rRNA
Rfam family: Bacterial small subunit ribosomal RNA
Source: RNAcentral